This is a small nuclear RNA of Aotus nancymaae (Ma's night monkey), 61 nucleotides long. Its record names the gene U7. It matches the Rfam family "U7 small nuclear RNA". Rfam says of the family: Animal histone pre-mRNAs are spliced by a different mechanism than nuclear pre-mRNAs and self-splicing introns. Lineage: Eukaryota; Metazoa; Chordata; Mammalia; Primates; Aotidae. The record is from Ensembl.
UAAUGUUACCACUCUUAGAAUUUUAUCUAGCAGGUUUUCCAGUCUUUACUGGGAAGCUCCU